RNAcentral lists this ribosomal RNA (240 nucleotides) under uncultured bacterium. RNAcentral describes it as "partial 16S ribosomal RNA". It matches the Rfam family "Bacterial small subunit ribosomal RNA", at positions 523 to 762 of the family's 1533-position model. The record is from RNAcentral.
AUACGUAGGGGGCAAGCGUUAUCCGGAUUUACUGGGUGUAAAGGGAGCGUAGACGGUUCUGCAAGUCUGGAGUGAAAGCCCGGGGCUCAACCCCGGGACUGCUUUGGAAACUGUGGAACUAGAGUGCAGGAGAGGUAAGUGGAAUUCCUAGUGUAGCGGUGAAAUGCGUAGAUAUUAGGAGGAACACCAGUGGCGAAGGCGGCUUACUGGACUGUGUCUGACACUGAGGCGCGAAAGCCA